ACGGAAGGCAGCAGUGGGGAAUAUUGCACAAUGGGGGAAGCCCUGAUGCAGCGACGCCGCGUGAGUGAAGAAGUAUUUCGGUAUGUAAAGCUCUAUCAGCAGGAAAGAAAAUGACGGUACCUGACUAAGAAGCCCCGGCUAACUACGUGCCAGCAGCCGCGGUAAUACGUAGGGGGCAAGCGUUAUCCGGAUUUACUGGGUGUAAAGGGAGCGUAGACGGCUUUGCAAGUCUGAAGUGAAAGCCCGGGGCUCAACCCCGGAACUGCUUUGGAAACUGUAGAGCUAGAGUGCAGGAGAGGUAAGUGGAAUUCCUAGUGUAGCGGUGAAAUGCGUAGAUAUUAGGAGGAACACCAGUGGCGAAGGCGGCUUACUGGACUGUAACUGACGUUGAGGCUCGAAGGCGUGGGGAGCAAACAGGAUUAGAUACCCUGGUA
This 434-nucleotide ribosomal RNA is filed under the name uncultured Lachnospiraceae bacterium. RNAcentral describes it as "partial 16S ribosomal RNA". It matches the Rfam family "Bacterial small subunit ribosomal RNA", at positions 341 to 792 of the family's 1533-position model. The record is from RNAcentral. Lineage: Bacteria; Bacillati; Bacillota; Clostridia; Lachnospirales; Lachnospiraceae.